RNAcentral lists this ribosomal RNA (484 nucleotides) under uncultured bacterium. RNAcentral describes it as "partial 16S ribosomal RNA". It matches the Rfam family "Bacterial small subunit ribosomal RNA", at positions 30 to 507 of the family's 1533-position model. The record is from RNAcentral.
AUUGAACGCUGGCGGCAGGCCUAACACAUGCAAGUCGAGCGGAUGAAGGGAGCUUUCUCCUGGAUUCAGCGGCGGACGGGUGAGUAAUGCCUAUGAAUCUGCCUGGUAGUGUGUUAUAACGUCCGUAAACGGGCGCUAAUACCGCAUACUUCCUUAUUGUGAAAGUUGGUGAUCUUCGUACCUCUCGCUUUCUUAUGAGCCUAGGUCGGAUUAGCUAGUUGGUGUGGUAAAGGCCUACCAAGCCGACGAUCCGUAACUGGUCUGAGAGGAUGAUAAGUCACACUGGAAGUGAGACACGGUACAGAGGACUAAGGGAGGCAGCAGAGGGGAAUAGUGGACAAAGGGCGAAAGCAUGAUACAGAAAUGGCGCGUGUGAGAAGAAGGAGUUCGGAUUGUAAAGAACGUUAAGUGGGGAGGAAGGGAAGUAAGUGAAAACCUUGCUGUAGUGACGUUAACAAAAGAAUAAGCACCGGCUAACUACGUG